RNAcentral lists this unclassified non-coding RNA (298 nucleotides) under Hevea brasiliensis (rubber tree). The record is from RNAcentral. Lineage: Eukaryota; Viridiplantae; Streptophyta; Magnoliopsida; Malpighiales; Euphorbiaceae.
AGUUCCUCAAAGAACCUCUUUCCUGUAAGAAUGUGUGGAUUAAAAUGAGAACAAUAUUUUCAGAUGAGUUUAUAAACAAAAGAAUGUUCUAUAAUGAAAAUCCAUUAGAAGAUAAACAAUCAGAUGAUUGCUGAUCCUUUGCUUUUAACUUUUUUUUACCUUUUUAUUACCAAAAAUAGGAAUAUUAUUCUACACUAUCUGUGUAUCACAAUGUUAUAAACAAGUAUAGACUUAGUUACACUUAUUGCUGCUCUUGACAAGUGGUUCAAAUUUGCAAAAACAUAAAUUUUUUUUUUUU